UCCGGGGUCAUCUAAUCGGUAGGAUAAUUGGCUCUGAACCAAUACAUCGGGGUUCGAGUCCCUGCCCCGGAA
Molecule: transfer RNA, 72 nt
Filed under: Candidatus Roizmanbacteria bacterium CG09_land_8_20_14_0_10_41_9
Lineage: Bacteria; Candidatus Roizmaniibacteriota
Description: tRNA-Gln
Rfam family: tRNA
About the family: Transfer RNA (tRNA) molecules are approximately 80 nucleotides in length.
Source: RNAcentral